UAGAAUGAUGAUUUGUUGUGGGCCAC
Molecule: small RNA, 26 nt
Filed under: Bombyx mori (domestic silkworm)
Lineage: Eukaryota; Metazoa; Arthropoda; Insecta; Lepidoptera; Bombycidae
Description: piRNA piR-bmo-1580228
Source: RNAcentral